Molecule: ribosomal RNA, 425 nt
Filed under: uncultured prokaryote
Description: bacterial SSU rRNA
Rfam family: Bacterial small subunit ribosomal RNA
Source: RNAcentral
UGGGGAAUCUUGGACAAUGGGCGCAAGCCUGAUCCAGCCAUGCCGCGUGAGUGAAGAAGGCCCUAGGGUUGUAAAGCUCUUUCGGUCGUGAAGAUAAUGACGGUAGCGACAGAAGAAGCCCCGGCUAACUCCGUGCCAGCAGCCGCGGUAAUACGGAGGGGGCUAGCGUUGUUCGGGAUUACUGGGCGUAAAGCGCGCGUAGGCGGAUAUUCAAGUCAGGGGUGAAAGCCCGGUGCUCAACGCCGGAAUUGCCUUUGAUACUGGAUGUCUUGAGUUCGGGAGAGGAGAGUGGAAUUCCCAGUGUAGAGGUGAAAUUCGUAGAUAUUGGGAAGAACACCGGUGGCGAAGGCGGCUCUCUGGCCCGGAACUGACGCUGAGGUGCGACAGCGUGGGGAGCAAACAGGAUUAGAUACCCCCGUAGUCCA